RNAcentral lists this ribosomal RNA (245 nucleotides) under uncultured bacterium. Its description in RNAcentral is "partial 16S ribosomal RNA". The record is from RNAcentral.
CUGCUGCCUUCCGUAGGAGUCUGGGCCGUAUCUCAGUCCCAAUGUGGCCGGCCAACCUCUCAGUCCGGCUACUGAUCGUCGCCUUGGUAGGCCGUUACCCUACCGACUAGCUAAUCAGACGCGAGUCCAUCUCUCAGCGAUAAAUCUUUGGUAUCCAUACCAUGCGAUACAGAUACGUUAUGCGGUAUUAGCAGUCGUUUCCAACUGUUGUCCCCCUCUGAAAGGCAGGUUACUCACGCGUUACU